CCUACGGGGGGCUGCAGUGGGGAAUAUUGCACAAUGGGCGCAAGCCUGAUGCAGCCAUGCCGCGUGUGUGAAGAAGGCCUUCGGGUUGUAAAGCACUUUCAGCGGGGAGGAAGGCGGUGAGGUUAAUAACCUCAUCGAUUGACGUUACCCGCAGAAGAAGCACCGGCUAACUCCGUGCCAGCAGCCGCGGUAAUACGGAGGGUGCAAGCGUUAAUCGGAAUUACUGGGCGUAAAGCGCACGCAGGCGGUCUGUCAAGUCGGAUGCGAAAUCCCCGGGCUCAACCUGGGAACUGCAUUCGAGACUGGCAGGCUAGAGUCUUGUAGAGGGGGGUAGAAUUCCAGGUGUAGCGGUGAAAUGCGUAGAGAUCUGGAGGAAUACCGGUGGCGAAGGCGGCCCCCUGGACAAAGACUGACGCUCAGGUGCGAAAGCGUGGGGAGCAAACAGGAUUAGAUACCCGUGUAGUC
This 465-nucleotide ribosomal RNA is filed under the name uncultured Klebsiella sp. RNAcentral describes it as "bacterial SSU rRNA". It matches the Rfam family "Bacterial small subunit ribosomal RNA", at positions 338 to 795 of the family's 1533-position model. The record is from RNAcentral. Lineage: Bacteria; Pseudomonadati; Pseudomonadota; Gammaproteobacteria; Enterobacterales; Enterobacteriaceae.